Small nuclear RNA from Dromiciops gliroides (monito del monte), 104 nucleotides. The record is from RefSeq and is a predicted model, not a curated record. Lineage: Eukaryota; Metazoa; Chordata; Mammalia; Microbiotheria; Microbiotheriidae.
GUGCUCACUUUGGAAGUAUAUAUACUAAAAUUGGAAUGAUAUAAAGAUUAGCAUGGCCUCUGUGCAAGGAUGAUAUGCAAAUUCAUGAAGUGCUUGAUAUUUUA